This 721-nucleotide ribosomal RNA is filed under the name uncultured bacterium. Its description in RNAcentral is "bacterial SSU rRNA". It matches the Rfam family "Bacterial small subunit ribosomal RNA", at positions 60 to 779 of the family's 1533-position model. The record is from RNAcentral.
AGUCGAACGAAGCACUUUAUUUGAUUUCCUUCGGGACUGAUUAUUUUGUGACUGAGUGGCGGACGGGUGAGUAACGCGUGGGUAACCUGCCUUGUACAGGGGGAUAACAGUUGGAAACGGCUGCUAAUACCGCAUAAGCGCACAGCAUCGCAUGAUGCAGUGUGAAAAACUCCGGUGGUAUAAGAUGGACCCGCGUUGGAUUAGCUAGUUGGUGAGGUAACGGCCCACCAAGGCGACGAUCCAUAGCCGACCUGAGAGGGUGACCGGCCACAUUGGGACUGAGACACGGCCCAAACUCCUACGGGAGGCAGCAGUGGGGAAUAUUGCACAAUGGGCGAAAGCCUGAUGCAGCGACGCCGCGUGAGCGAAGAAGUAUUUCGGUAUGUAAAGCUCUAUCAGCAGGGAAGAUAAUGACGGUACCUGACUAAGAAGCACCGGCUAAAUACGUGCCAGCAGCCGCGGUAAUACGUAUGGUGCAAGCGUUAUCCGGAUUUACUGGGUGUAAAGGGAGCGCAGGCGGUGCGGCAAGUCUGAUGUGAAAGCCCGGGGCUCAACCCCGGUACUGCAUUGGAAACUGUCGUACUAGAGUGUCGGAGGGGUAAGCGGAAUUCCUAGUGUAGCGGUGAAAUGCGUAGAUAUUAGGAGGAACACCAGUGGCGAAGGCGGCUUACUGGACGAUAACUGACGCUGAGGCUCGAAAGCGUGGGGAGCAAACAGGAUU